This 400-nucleotide ribosomal RNA is filed under the name Enterobacter hormaechei. RNAcentral's name for it is "bacterial SSU rRNA". It matches the Rfam family "Bacterial small subunit ribosomal RNA", at positions 90 to 486 of the family's 1533-position model. The record is from RNAcentral. Lineage: Bacteria; Pseudomonadati; Pseudomonadota; Gammaproteobacteria; Enterobacterales; Enterobacteriaceae.
GACGAGUGGCGGACGGGUGAGUAAUGUCUGGGAAACUGCCUGAUGGAGGGGGAUAACUACUGGAAACGGUAGCUAAUACCGCAUAACGUCGCAAGACCAAAGAGGGGGACCUUCGGGCCUCUUGCCAUCGGAUGUGCCCAGAUGGGAUUAGCUAGUAGGUGGGGUAACGGCUCACCUAGGCGACGAUCCCUAGCUGGUCUGAGAGGAUGACCAGCCACACUGGAACUGAGACACGGUCCAGACUCCUACGGGAGGCAGCAGUGGGGAAUAUUGCACAAUGGGCGCAAGCCUGAUGCAGCCAUGCCGCGUGUAUGAAGAAGGCCUUCGGGUUGUAAAGUACUUUCAGCGGGGAGGAAGGUGUUGAGGUUAAUAACCUCAGCAAUUGACGUUACCCGCAGAA